This is a long non-coding RNA of Triplophysa dalaica, 3906 nucleotides long. RefSeq lists it as uncharacterized. The record is from RefSeq and is a predicted model, not a curated record. NCBI's taxonomy places the organism in Eukaryota, Metazoa, Chordata, Actinopteri, Cypriniformes, Nemacheilidae. The transcript is spliced from 3 exons.
CUGAAAAACAUGUUACCAUUAUAGUGAUUCAACCCACACGAGGAUCCCAGAGGACCGCAUCACUUGGGCUUUUAGCAGACAAGCCAACAGAAAACGUUGGUUUGAUCAUUUGUGCUCUGUUUGUGUCACGUUCAAUUUCUUAAUCUAAUGAUCUGGUUUUCUAGUGAUGACAUCAGUGUUUCCGAGCGAUCGGUCACAUUUACAGCUCAAGAUUGUGUUUUUGACACCAUGUGGCCGUGAAGCAAAGAGGCCAACCUGUCUUCAGAUGUAAGUGUAAACCAGCCCAGAGUGCAUCCGUCACGAAGAAGGCAAUCCCAUAAUGCAUUGUGACAGGUGAAGACUAACUCUAUAUCAACAUGCACAACAUCACUGGAGCAUCUGUUCAAUGGAUAAACAUGAGAUCUGUGUGGUUUCCAUGACAACCAUUCAGCAGCAGAAAGCAUGCAGCUGCACUUGAUCGCUUUAUUUGGUAAACGUGGAUGUUUCAACCAGAUGGAAGUGAAGGGUUUUCUUAUGUAGAUUUCUUGAUAUAGUAAUGCAUACAUGAUUGUAAAAAAUGUUGCAUAUUUAUCAUAAUAACAAAAUGUUACGAAAUGAUUUUCAGGGGAAUUUGCAUUCUGCCAGAUUUUGGUGCGAAAUAUGACAGGGAUAUUUAUCUUGUAAUGUUUCAGCAGUAAUCUCCUCCCGUAACACAUGUAUAAAGUGUCUGUAUGUUGACAUAAAGGGUCCCUAGGGGUCUCGCAGAUCUCUUUGAUCUUCAUGUCAUCAGACUGAUCAGUGCAUGUUCUGCGUAAUAACAUUACUCAUUCAUGUCACAUGCAUGUGUUGUGUCUGCUCAUCUCAACAGAUUGCAGGCGACACAUGCGACUGUCUCCACAAGCUGCUCUGAAUAACAGACCGUUUGAGUUGAAGACACGUCACGAGGACGAUGGCAUCGUUUGAAUCUGUGCUUUUAAAUGGAGCCAGACGAAGAUGCAGCAAUCGCUUUUUCAUUGUCAUGAUUGGUUAAAAAAGGAUGACCUGUUUGGACUCAUAUUUAGAAUAAAUGAUGUUAACGUGAAUGCAAUCUGUGCGUCAGUGUUUCAGAUGCUGUGGUUGGCCGGGUACAGCGGUCUUACCUGACCGACAACAUGUGUGUAUGUAUGUGGCACACAAACAUGUCUUUCUUUCUUCAUCUGUCACCUGAUACUGAACACAGGUGAUCAUAUUUACCUGCUGAUGUGUGUACAGAAUGUGCGUUUGUGAGCAAUGGCUUCAAACGCAAACGGCUUCAUACAAUUUGAUUCAUUUGUUCUCUGUGUUCACCCUAACCCCUCACAUUCAUCCGGCCACGUUUACUGCUGCUCAUCCAGGUGUGAGGGAUUGAGUGCAGGUGCCCUGGACAAACAGGUGCUGUUGACUACAGUCUCUCAUCAGGGUGAAUAUGAGGAUUCCGUCAUCACUAUCUGUGUACUUCUGUACAAUGAUCUUUUUCAUUUUCGGUUAAUUUUGUGAAAACUAGAAUGUGUUUUUUUUCAGUAAAUAAUAACUGACUGCAUUUAUGUCUGAUUCUCGCAAAGUAUGGAGUGUUUUUUUCCGAGUGUGUCAUUUUAGCGUCUUGGCUGUAAAACUAACCAUCUGCUGUCAUUGUGAAGCAAACACUGACUCAGACAUUCAACUCUUUAUAUGUUUCACAGAAGAAAUACUGCACACGUUUGAACCAAACAAGGACGAGUUUGGCAGCUGUUUCAAGUUCGAUCUUCAAUAUGUUGGAUCUGAUGUUAUAUUUAAUUCAAAUCUCAUGCACAAGGUUUAAAAAAAGCCAUAAAAUAAAUGAGUAUCGUCUAAUCUCUGUUGAAGGCUGGCUGAGGCUGGCUGAUAAUGUUUUGGCCUUGUAAUGGGUCGUUGUGAGGCCAAAUUAUUGUGUGUAGGAAGGAUUAUGAAACAUAAAUAUACAAGAGACACAUUGUAUUUCCUUUUCAAUAAAACUAACGUGCCAUAAGUUUUCCUUUCAUAGUGUUUGGAAAGCCAGACGUCAACAUUCCUUGAGCCUAGCUGUUUCUAUGGUAACGGUUACACCUGUCGAAUGGCGGAAGUUACAUCAAAGUGGUCCACAGACCCACAUGUGUGCCACAGAAGCCGGACAAUACAGUUUAUUAUGUGUGAAUGAACAGCCGUUGAGAAGACCAGAAUCACUGACAAUCCCUUUGAAGUCACAAAUCGGACGCUCUCACAACGCUCUCACAACGUUCCCACAACGCUGCAGCAACCCUCUUACAUUUAAACCUGCUUUGAGCUCGGGUUCACAGUAGCGUGCUCAAACUCUCAGAAGCUGUUGUUCAACAUUACAGAAGAGGUCUUUUGAGUACACACUGUAAGCCAACAUGAAAAAAGGGAAAGUCCAGAAUGUUCCCAGAGUGUUUCUUCCUGUUUCUGAAUUUCACCUCCUCUGUAGCACACAGCGCUUCGUCAUCAACAUUGCUCAAUACGUUUACACAGAAGUUUCAUUUAAGAUGAAGCGUGUAGCAUUGAAGCAAACAAUAGCUCAUUAUUUGACUCGCAGAUUCUUGCACGGCUCUCAUGGGAUUUAACACAAACUGCUGUUUUGAAAUGCAGUUAACCAUGUCAUGGAACCGUUCACAGUUUGAAAACCAUUGCCAUAGUGUAAUUUGGUGAAUGUGAGUGUUUUGAAUCCUCUGUAUUAUACGUAAUAUCCCCAAAAAUGUCUAAAUCCUGAAUGUAGUGAAAUGAGGAUUGUCGGAUGUGACACGGUAAGACUCUUUUGGCACACACGGCCCCAUUUAAAAUCAUGUUUCUUCAGCUGAACAGCUGCGUUUAAUCCAGUGGCGUUUGUUUCCUGGAGCCUUGUUUCCAAAUGCUGAACGGGGGCAGGCAAGUUCACACAGACCUUUCUUCUCAAACCCCUCCUGUUCUCUGGCAAACAUCAAACGUCCCGUCCGCUCGGACUUUUUUCUUCUCAACAAGAUUCUAGCAGCUUUGUGGGAGGAUAAUUGAGGGCAGACGUCUGAGGCGCCGGCGGAUAUCUGGACCUUUUUGGGGAGCGUAAAACACACUUUUCAGAGGGUUUCUUUGUGGACUCCUCCCCGUCACUGAAUCUACUGAGUCAUUCCACAGCCAAGUGGGGCCUCUAUACUAAACAUCACACGGACACAUGAUAUCUGGCCCCUGCUUGUUGAAUUUUGUGUGUUUUGGUAGGAUCAACGGAACCAUGGCAGACUCGAACGCCCGUGCACGUGUCCUGCUCUCUCCCCCUCUCUCUUUAUUUCGCAAAAAAAACUUUAUUGUCAGUUUGGCCGCGACUCAAAGAAAGUCAACUUUGGAGACGUGUUGUAAAGAAAGAGGAAGGACAUAAAUUCGGACAGAUCGUGUGUUUAUACUGCAGGCCCACGCACGGCGUUGACUGUUCUUUUAAACAAUAUCAGCCGUUCAUUGUUGUUUGUGCUCCGCAGGAAGCCGACGCAGAUGUUUGUCACACUACGCUUGCGGUUCGUCCCAGCCCACUCGUUCUGUGUCGUGGCAGCACUUUUUUUUCAGAGCUCUGUCUCUUUCUGACGGGAGGGUCAUCGGCGGGCCAGGUCCAAAUGAAAAAAUACUUGGCUUUUUUUCCUGGCGAGCGCUCAAACCCAGGCUUUUGAAAAGAUUACUGUGUGGCUGCUGCCCCGCCGGGAUGCUUGAGGUUAGGAAUUCACUCGGAGGCGCUUUUCAAUUCAGCUAGCCGGCAACGUUCCCCUCCCUCUCUCGUUCUGCUCCAUUUUGUCUCGGUGGUUUCCUAAACUGUUUUCACACUGGAGUGUAGACCCGAGUCUGCGUUCAACUUUCAUGCUUCCUGUAAAAUCUUUUUUUUGGUAAAAAAUAUAUUUUUCUCUUGUUUUUUAAUCAGCAACAAGAUUUCUGAGCAUCCUUUAA